CAGUCGCCGCGGUAAUACGUAGGUGGCAAGCGUUGUCCGGAAUUAUUGGGCGUAAAGCGCGCGCAGGUGGUUUAAUAAGUCUGAUGUGAAAGCCCACGGCUCAACCGUGGAGGGUCAUUGGAAACUGUUAAACUUGGGUGCAGGAGAGAAAAGUGGAAUUCCUAGUGUAGCGGUGAAAUGCGUAGAGAUUAGGAGGAACACCAGUGGCGAAGGCGGCUUUUUGGCCUGUAACUGACACUGAGGCGCGAAAGCGUGGGGAGCAAACAGGAUUAGAUACCCGUGUAGUCCCUGUCUCUUAUAC
RNAcentral lists this ribosomal RNA (301 nucleotides) under uncultured bacterium. RNAcentral describes it as "partial 16S ribosomal RNA". It matches the Rfam family "Bacterial small subunit ribosomal RNA", at positions 509 to 807 of the family's 1533-position model. The record is from RNAcentral.